GUGCCCGUAACUCAGUGGUAGAGUGUGAGAUUGCAAUCAUGGGGGGAGUUGUAUUGAUCUCGAAGCCGCGUGUUCGAACCACGCCGGGCACU
Transfer RNA from Moniliophthora roreri MCA 2997, 92 nucleotides. It matches the Rfam family "tRNA". From Rfam's summary of the family: Transfer RNA (tRNA) molecules are approximately 80 nucleotides in length. Their secondary structure includes four short double-helical elements and three loops (D, anti-codon, and T loops). The record is from Rfam. Lineage: Eukaryota; Fungi; Basidiomycota; Agaricomycetes; Agaricales; Marasmiaceae.